ACAGGCAUUUAAUUAACUGAAGCGGCAAAACUAUAAGGCGAAACGAAUACAAAGUACAAAAACAGUAGAUAAAGUAGAAAUAUUUACUUAUCCGUUGAAAAGAAGCCCGAACGUGUCCUACCGUUUGUCAGUGAUGAAGAAGAUAAUGAUUCAGAGCAACACCUGUAGCUUGUGAACGACUCAGGUACGCUGGAGAAUCCACAGUCUUCUGUCAUUUCUUUUCCAUUCUCAGAGGGGUUUCCUGCACCUGCUUCCUUCCUUUGUGGUGCUAAUCAGCUAACGCAAGCUUGAAGAUUUGUACUGAGCCGUACCUCUCGGCCAGGCCACCUUUAGUGAGGCUAGAGAUGAUGAUAGGGUCGAAGGGCUCCUCGGUGCCCGAGAUAGUGAUGCCCAGCGGCCCGCCGAAGCG
Cyprinus carpio (common carp) is the source of this 409-nucleotide long non-coding RNA. RefSeq lists it as uncharacterized. The transcript has 3 exons. Lineage: Eukaryota; Metazoa; Chordata; Actinopteri; Cypriniformes; Cyprinidae. The record is from RefSeq and is a predicted model, not a curated record.